This is a non-coding RNA of Phrynosoma platyrhinos (Desert horned lizard), 71 nucleotides long. The record is from the annotation of a GenBank genome assembly. NCBI's taxonomy places the organism in Eukaryota, Metazoa, Chordata, Lepidosauria, Squamata, Phrynosomatidae.
GCCAGUGUGGCAUAGUGGUUUGUAUGUUGGACUAUGACUCUGAAUAGGAAGGUUCAAAUCCCUGAUUGGCC